RNAcentral lists this ribosomal RNA (305 nucleotides) under uncultured bacterium. RNAcentral describes it as "bacterial SSU rRNA". It matches the Rfam family "Bacterial small subunit ribosomal RNA", at positions 337 to 640 of the family's 1533-position model. The record is from RNAcentral.
GCCUACGGGGGGCAGCAGUGAGGACUAUUGGUCAAUGGCCGCAGGGCUGAACCAGCCAAGUCGCGUGAGGGAUGACGGUCCUAUGGAUUGUAAACCUCUUUUGUCAGGGAGCAAAGGGCGCCACGUGUGGCGUUUUGCGAGUACCUGAAGAAAAAGCAUCGGCUAACUCCGUGCCAGCAGCCGCGGUAAUACGGAGGAUGCGAGCGUUAUCCGGAUUUAUUGGGUUUAAAGGGUGCGUAGGCGGACGCUUAAGUCAGCGGUAAAAUUGCGGGGCUCAACCUCGUCGAGCCGUUGAAACUGGGUGC